GGGCGAUUAGCUCAGUGGGAGAGCACUGCCUUCACACGGCAGGGGUCGCUGGUUCGAGCCCAGCAUCGCCCACCA
Molecule: transfer RNA, 75 nt
Filed under: Candidatus Competibacteraceae bacterium
Lineage: Bacteria; Pseudomonadati; Pseudomonadota; Gammaproteobacteria; Candidatus Competibacteraceae
Also listed under: 1 other name
Description: tRNA-Val
Rfam family: tRNA
About the family: Transfer RNA (tRNA) molecules are approximately 80 nucleotides in length. Their secondary structure includes four short double-helical elements and three loops (D, anti-codon, and T loops). Further hydrogen bonds mediate the characteristic L-shaped molecular structure. tRNAs have two regions of fundamental functional importance: the anti-codon, which is responsible for specific mRNA codon recognition, and the 3' end, to which the tRNAs corresponding amino acid is attached (by aminoacyl-tRNA synthetases). tRNAs cope with the degeneracy of the genetic code in two manners: having more than one tRNA (with a specific anti-codon) for a particular amino acid; and 'wobble' base-pairing, i.e. permitting non-standard base-pairing at the 3rd anti-codon position.
Source: RNAcentral